RNAcentral lists this long non-coding RNA (1224 nucleotides) under Ursus maritimus (polar bear). RNAcentral's name for it is "lncRNA (ENSUMAG00000020206.1)". Lineage: Eukaryota; Metazoa; Chordata; Mammalia; Carnivora; Ursidae. The record is from RNAcentral.
CGUGUUUGUGAUGCUGACACUUUAAGGCCAACCCUGACAACAAACUAGAGGGAAGAAGCGGUCUCUGUGAGGGGGUCCCUUCAUUCCAGUCCAGGACAUCACAAUCCCUGUGAUGUCUUCAGAAUUACCCGAAGAUAUACACGAUCCUGGAUUCGUAUUAAAUUAGAGCCUUGGGUUUAUAGCUGGAAAUCAGCAUUUCUAACAGUUUGCCAAGUGGUUUUGUUCUCACGUAGGCAUAAAAACCACUGCUCCAGGUGCAAGGUUUGGUUUCACCCCAGCUUCUGGUGAAUGAUCGAAACUUGUGUUUCUCAAACUUUUUUUUUGCUGGUACUCCCCACAGAUGACAUUGUCAUACACAUCCUCUCAGACCUCUUUGAUGCUGAGACAGAAAACAGGCAAUGUCUACGGGGAGAUCAGGCCCUGGUGGCCACAGAAAGCCCGCAGGCAAAAACUUAAAGGUGAGAGAGAGAAGACAAGGCAGAAAGAGCUACGAUAAAGCCACAGCAGCAAAACCUGUGGGUGUUUGCUGUGUCUCAGACCCUUUCCGAAGUGCUUGUCAGGUAGGUACUCGGUGAAUCUCACCGGAGCACUGUGAGGUAGGUCGUAUUAUUAUUAAGCCCAUUUUCCGGAUGAAAACACUGAGGCUCACAGGGAUGGCUAUUUUGCCAAAGCAACAUGGUUUAGAAAAAGGGGGAAGCUGGUUCAGAGCCCAGGCUUUUGCCUGGAGUCUUUGCUCUUGACCCAGCAUGACAGCAUUUUCAGCUAGAGGUGCUGGAACUCUCGAAUGUAGUUUCCUGGUUGUAAACGUGGCCUCUUGAUGAAGUACGCCUCCCAUAGAGUCAGCACCUGUUUGACUCUGCUGACAGGCAAUUGGGGCUCAUUUUUCUAGCACUUUCUUCUAGUGACAAUGUGCUCGUGCACGUUGAGAUUUCUUCCCUGAGCUCCUUCUCACUGGGAAGGUCCCUGUGGACAUGUGACCCUCUUGUGGGUGUAAGUUGAUGGCUGUCUGGCUCUCUUAAGAAUGUGAAAAGGUGGGGCACCUGGGUGGCUCAGUUGGUUAAGUGUCUGUCUUGGGCUCAGGUCACGAUCUCAGGCUCCUGGGAUCGAGACCCAAUGCUCAGAGUCUCCUUCUCCCUCUACCCCUCCCCACCUCCCUGGCUCGUGCUCUCUUUCUCACUCUCUCUCUCAAAUAAAUAAAAUCUAAAAAAAAAAAAAAAAAAAGAA